ACGACGACGACGUUCGAGUUACGUGGGAUGUUCUUAUGCUUGACCCGGUCAAGCGUGAGACGUUUCGUAGUGGCGUGCUCAUCGUUAUUCUGGAACACAUUGUCGCAUCAGACGACCAGUUCAUGGGCACCGCCCUCAGCCGUGCGAAAAUCAACGCACCUCAUCCUCGCACAGGGAUGACUCUGGCUGAGAAAUUAGCGGUACAGACGACGUGGCAGCGGUUCUGCAAACGUAGAGAGAACGGUAUCGAGCUGUUUAUCGAACUGUUCACAUGGUAUCCUGAAUGCAAGCUGCUCUUCAAAAGUUUCUCCGAGCAGUCUGUCACUUCGCUGUUCAGCAACCCCCAAUUCCUUUGCCAUACUAUUGCCGUUUUGUACCAAAUAACUGCGAUGGUAGAUGCCUUGGACGAUGCAGAUCUGUUCGAAGAGCUGGUACGGAAGAACGCCACUCACCACGUACGACGACCAGGCGUCCUUUCCAAGCAUAUCAGCUCCUUUACCGAGGUGAUGAAGUCUGUGCUGCGCCAGAAGAUGGGCACCAGUAUGACGCCCGAUGCUACGAGUGGUUGGGAUAAGUUCCUGCAACUUGUGGUAAACAUUACGCAAGAGGUGUAUACCAAGGCUGCCGAUAGCCCUCAUCAUAAAGACAAGCAUGCCUUAAAAAGACAAUGAACUCAAACAGUUUUCCUCGGCGUAUGUUAUAAGCAACGACGCAUGAGGUGCUGUCCACGAGAUUUUAUUGGAGGUCCUCAGAUUGUUCAUGCUGAUCCAGUUGAUGUUGGUAAAGCUAUUCCAAUGUUAUUGUUGCGAGUUUGCUUUACAGACAUCAACAGUGGUAGCUUGUGAUAUCUAAUAUAUUGAUUGAUUGCUGAUGGAUUUCGCUGUAAAAAAUCUGAAACACG
Molecule: long non-coding RNA, 901 nt
Organism: Ornithodoros turicata
Lineage: Eukaryota; Metazoa; Arthropoda; Arachnida; Ixodida; Argasidae
Exons: 2
Source: RefSeq, a predicted model, not a curated record